This 468-nucleotide ribosomal RNA is filed under the name uncultured bacterium. RNAcentral's name for it is "partial 16S ribosomal RNA". It matches the Rfam family "Bacterial small subunit ribosomal RNA", at positions 28 to 507 of the family's 1533-position model. The record is from RNAcentral.
GACGAACGCUGGCGGCGUGCUUAACACAUGCAAGUCGAACGGAAAGGCCCUGCUUUUGUGGGGUGCUCGAGUGGCGAACGGGUGAGUAACACGUGAGUAACCUGCCCUUGACUUUGGGAUAACUUCAGGAAACUGGGGCUAAUACCGGAUAGGAGCUCCUGCUGCAUGGUGGGGGGUGGAAAGUUUCGGCGGUUGGGGAUGGACUCGCGGCUUAUCAGCUUGUUGGUGGGGUAGUGGCUUACCAAGGCUUUGACGGGUAGCCGGCCUGAGAGGGUGACCGGCCACAUUGGGACUGAGAUACGGCCCAGACACCUACGGGAGGCAGAGGUGGGGAAUAUUGCACAAUGGGCGGAAGCCUGAUGCAGCAACGCCGCGUGCGGGAUGACGGCCCUCGGGUUGUAACCCGCUUUCGCCUGUGACGAAGCGUGAGUGACGGUAAUGGGUAAAGAAGCACCGGCUAACUACGUG